Molecule: long non-coding RNA, 1214 nt
Filed under: Homo sapiens (human)
Lineage: Eukaryota; Metazoa; Chordata; Mammalia; Primates; Hominidae
Description: HSALNT0214003
Source: RNAcentral
AUAAAUCCCAUAGGCUUAAGGGCUCCCCAAUUCCUUGCUACAGAGCCCUGUUGUCCACGGUUUAUUUUUUUCCACAGGACGAUUCUUAAUACUUUACCAGAUGGAAACACCACCACCACCAUCUUUGCCAUUUCAGCUCUUAUGCAUUAGGCAGCCACGAUAUCUUCAGGGCCUUCUUUCUCAUUCACGCCAUCUCAAGAUUACUCCUGUGGGUAUCUGGGCUCAAUCCCAGUGGAAACCUUCUAAAUGACUGUAGACAAGAAACCUCCAAAUGACUGCAUGAACGGUGGAGAAAACCAGGGUAUUUCUCCUUGAACUCUAGCUACUUAUUGCUUAAGAGCACCUGUCCCCUCCACUUGUCCAUUUCCCUCCUUUCCUGUGACAAAAGAACCCUUGCAGGAAGACAGUGGAAAAAUGCCAUAGGUGGCUUGAAAGGAUACGGGCUUGGAAUGCACAGAAUCUGAUACAAGUCUACUUCAAAGACAAUGGCUUUUAUUCUUCAGUGACUGGGGACACAAGAACAUGUUUUCAAAAGGGGUGUAAAAUUUGUGAUUUAAUCAACACAUACUGAGUAUCUAAAAUGUGCCAGGCACUGUGAAAGAAACUGAAUAAAUAUGAGUGAAGUACAGUCUCAGUCCUCUAGAAAUUUCAGAUUCAUUAAAAGUACAGUUGACCUUUGAACAAUACAGAUUAGAACUGUCUAGUCCACUUAUACAUGGAUUUUCUUCUGCCUCUGUCACCCGAGACACAGCAAGACCAACCCCUCCCCUUCCUCCUUCUUUUCAACCUACUUAACCUGAAAUCGAUGAUGAAGACAUUUGUGAUGAUCCACAUCCACUUAAUGAAAGCAAGGCAAGGUACUUCUACGGAAGGGUGCGACCUCACGGAUGGAGCAAUGGUCACUCAGUCUGAGGUAUUUUGUUAUGGUAGCCUGAACAGACCAAGACACCAAUAAGACGGUAUUUGGAGGUGGGGCCUUUUGUAGGAAGAAGAUAUGGUGGUUGAAGUUACAAGGACUCCUUGUUGUAACCAGGAGCCGAUCUUGAUCAAUGGAGCUACAUAAAGCAUGUUGAAAUGCAAAGAAAGAUAGAAGGAGCCUGUGGUACUGAAAACAUUGAGGAUUCUCUGAACCAGCCUUGGCUACCCCACCAUUUAACUUGAGAAAAAAUAUUUCUUUCCUCUUUAAGCUCUUCUUCUACCAAAUGUAUCAGGAA